AUCUAGUUGACGAGUCCUAAAUAGGAAGAAACGCGUGUGUCCUGGAU
This 47-nucleotide non-coding RNA is filed under the name Schistosoma margrebowiei. The record is from RNAcentral. Lineage: Eukaryota; Metazoa; Platyhelminthes; Trematoda; Strigeidida; Schistosomatidae.